RNAcentral lists this ribosomal RNA (253 nucleotides) under uncultured bacterium. RNAcentral's name for it is "partial 16S ribosomal RNA". It matches the Rfam family "Bacterial small subunit ribosomal RNA", at positions 524 to 776 of the family's 1533-position model. The record is from RNAcentral.
UACAGAGGAUGCAAGCGUUAUCCGGAAUGAUUGGGCGUAAAGCGUCUGUAGGUGGCUUUUUAAGUCCGCCGUCAAAUCCCAGGGCUCAACUCUGGACAGGCGGUGGAAACUACCAAGCUGGAGUACGGUAGGGGCAGAGGGAAUUUCCGGUGGAGCGGUGAAAUGCGUAGAGAUCGGAAGGAACGCCCGUGGCGAAAGCGAGGUCCUGGACGCCUACUGACGCUGAGACGCGAAAGCCAGGGGAGCGAACGGG